This 569-nucleotide ribosomal RNA is filed under the name Clathrosporium retortum. RNAcentral's name for it is "eukaryotic LSU rRNA". The record is from RNAcentral. Lineage: Eukaryota; Fungi; Ascomycota; Leotiomycetes; Helotiales; Gelatinodiscaceae.
UCGUAACAARGUUUCCGUAGGUGAACCAGCGGAGGGAUCAUUAUAGAGUUGUCUUCUCUAUUCAACCCUGUGAACGUUCUCGCGGUUGCUUCGGUGGGCGGCUCCUGGGAGGAGCCGCGGCCCGUACGGGCGCCCGCCGGAGGCCCGAAACCCCAGAAUUGUUAGCGUAUCUGAGCACUAUUUUAAUAAGUCAAAACUUUCAACAACGGAUCUCUUGGUUCUGGCAUCGAUGAAGAACGCAGCGAAAUGCGAUAAGUAAUGUGAAUUGCAGAACUCAGCGAAUCAUCGAAUCUUUGAACGCACAUUGCGCCCGCCGGUAUUCCGGCGGGCAUGCCUGUUCGAGCGUCAUUACAACCCUCGAGCCCUGCUCGGUGUUGGGGUCCCGCGCCACCUGCGGGCCCCGAAAUGUAGUGGCGGUGCCGCCCGGCCCGCAGCGUAGUAGCCUAACCUCGCUCGCGGCGCCUGGGCGCACACCCGCCGUAAAACAACCCCAUCAUCAAAGGUUGACCUCGGAUCAGGUAGGAAUACCCGCUGAACUUAAGCAUAUCAAUAAGCGGAGAAAAAGAAAC